GCGUACCAAUUCAACUACAUGUAAUUGAUAACACAGUUUUAUCAACCUUGUACUGAAUUUGAGAUACUAUCUGUAACUAAUUUUAGAUCAAAUAAAUGUUUAUGUGUUAUUGUCACACCACGUCGUAGACUUCCCGGUUGAAAAAUCGUAUGGACUUACUACGUAGCAGACUAUAUAGUUCCAUUUUUCAGCCUUGAACUAUAUAAACGUGAUAAAACCCAUAACGUUUAAAUAUAAUGUGUAAACGAAUGAUUAAAUCUUGUGUUUCAGAGCCACGAUUUUAGUCUUAUAUCUAGGUCGGGUAAAAUUAUAGUAAUGUACAAAACAAAACAACUAUAAAUACAUUUUGUUUUUAUUAAACGCAAUAUUCCAUUUUUAUCUCUUUUCUCAUUUAAUAAUGUGUAUAUAUAAAGCUUCAAUAUUUAUCAGGAUUUUGUGACUAUGUAUGUUCGGGUGUCUUUAACGCCUGUGUUUGAAACCAAAAGAGGAAUCGACUGAAAAUUACUUAGUUUAAUCAACGGCAUGAAGAGUACAGCAAGAGGUUAUGAAAGAUCCAACAAAUGAAACCCACAAACAACAGGAUGUCCUUAAACUAGUAGCUUCAAGACUCCGCUUCCUUGGCGACGAUCUGCAAAAGAGCUACGAAAAAAAGCGAGAAUCGCAAAAACAGCACGGGAAAAAGCGAGAAUCGCAAAACCAGCACCGUAAAAGGCGAGAAUCGUUAAGUAAAAGGAGAAUGAUCCUUCAGUUGUUAUGCAGACAUCUUCUUUCAGCUAAUGAUGAAUUCACACUGAGAUAUAUUUCAUAAACGAGAAAGAUGACCGAUAAUCAACUGCACCACUGUCAACCUCACUUCCAGAGGAGUCAUUUGAAAAAGAUGGCACUGGCACACAGUGUUUCAUUCAGUUCCAUAAAGGAGAAGUGAUCACAAGUUGUUUUUGGAAUGAAGAAUAUUUGCCAUAUUUGUGAAUCAGGGGGUUAAAUAAUGCGAUUUGAUUAUAUCAAAGUACUUGAAUUCUGAAAUUUGAAAAUAUUGAAUAUGUUUGAAACGUUAAAAGCACUGACCUCCAGGGUUUGGGGUUUGGCUAACAAUCUUUAAAAUUGAAAUUUAGUCAUAUCAUGAACAUUAGAACAGGAGUUUUUGUUUCUAAACUGUCUUAAAAUGCCAAAUCAGGAGAAAAGAAAACACGUCCGAGUCGGGAAACGAACCCGCGCCGCCGCAGCAAUAAAAUGUUUAUUGCGUUCUUGUCCAAUACACCACGGAAGAAUUAAAUGUUUAAAUGUAAAGCUUUAUAAUAAGCUAGGCAGUUUACCUCCGGUACCGCGUUACAAACGCGUUUCAAUUUUGGAUGGAAAAAGAGUAAAAACAACUAAUUCGCAUGUGUUUUCAUAACAUGUUAUAUGUCAGUUACUAAGUUUUAAAGCCUUCUUAAGAAAUAUAGUAAUGAUUUUCUAAUAUCUAGAAACAUCUAUUUUUUGUUGCCCGUGCGAUCUGGCGGUCAGUGCCUUUUUAAAAUCAUAGGUAAUAACAAUGCGCACAAUACUUACAAUGUAAAAUAAUGAUAUGUGAUCAGACACAAUUUAUAAAGUGACAAUAUAUUGUGAGUGUUUGGUUUGAAGAAUGUUAAAUAAACAGAUGAAGAAAAUUGACAUAUUAAUCACACAAUUGAAUCGGAGCUAUAAAUUGAAUAUAAUAAUCAAAUAUACUCAAAUAUAUUUUUUCUUUAGAAAAUGGUCUUGAUGUGCAACUGUUUCAAAAACUUUAAAAUGAUUUUAUGAAUACAAAUAUAAAACUAGAAAUAUGUCGAACACACGACCUUUGUUGUUGUAAAAGUAUAAAUGAUACUGGUUCAUUUUUGCUAAAUGAACAUUGAAAGAAUGUUUUUACGUAAAUGUAAAAUGACAAUAAAUGAAUGAAUCAUCAUUUUGUUUGAAAUACAUGUAUUAACAUUUACAAACGACAACGUAAUAGUUAGAUAUUAGAUCUAUUUUUCCAUGUACUGUAUUUAUUCGAUAAAAAUCUCUGUGUCAUUUUCUGUUUGUUAUAUGAAGCAAAUUGUUAAGCUAAACUUCUAUGUAACCUUGAACUGAACAAUUAUUAUGUGGGUGUAUUCUGCGUAAACACUGAAACGUUUAUUCUGAAGGAGCAAUACCUGUGUUAUUAUUUAAACGUUUAAAGGUUAACUAGUAUAUUCUUUUUUUUCAUACAGACGACAAUAAUACCUUAAAUUUUGUUUGUUGUUAUAACUCUUUUGAUAAAAAUAACAAAUUUUUGUAUAUGAAAGUAUAAGAAAAAUUAACGUAUUCAUCUCCUUUUUUAUGCAAAUUGUUCUGUUUAUUUUUUCAAUAAUAUCAUAUACAAAAUAUUUGUAAAUAUUUUCAUAUUCAUUUUGAUCGAAAAGGGAGAGAUAGUAUUCUAAAACGAACAAUAACGAUAACGCCCGAUAUUGGUUGAUGUUAUUGAGUGCCAGGUCAGUACUUACGAACAAUAUAUGUAUUAUCACAUUCGCACGCACAGGGUCCUUUGGUCAGUAUUGGCAAGCUACUGCUACUUUCUAAACAUACAGCUGUGCACUACAUUCAUAUUAUUUCAUGUUAACAGUGCUAGCUGUUUGUAAAGCACGUAUGCCCACAUGAAUGUCUGCCCCGUUUUCAGUCCCGAAAUCCCUAUGACCUUACCCUUUGGCCUACUGACCUUACAAUUAGGGUCAUCAGCUGACCACAAGUAAUCACCGUAUGAAGUAUGUAAACUGUAAGCCAAGGUUUGUUGAGUUAUUGAGCAGAAAUCGUUUCUAGUCUCAAGGUCACUGCGACUUUGACCUUAGGCCUCCGGACCUAGAAAACAAUGGCGGUCACCUAAUAAUUCUACUGAUCACAGACACUCGUUCUUUCAACUUUGUGCAGUAAUUCGGUUUUGGUGCAUGAGGUCAAAUCCUGGAAUUUCACUUAUCCACCGUUAAAUGCUACAAGAUUCUUUCACUGGAUGAAGGUGCAAAUGGGAAUAUCUGGCCUCGAGGGUAACUGUUUCAGUGGUAACGAGGUCCUGCCGGGUAUUCCCAUCUGUACCUACAGCCAGUGAUAGAUUCUUUUUCUUGCAUACUUAAUUCAACGUCCAUAAACAGAAAAGGCGUCAUAACGUUUCAAAGACAAAUAACAAUGUUUAGUUCCAGUUUUGUUUUAUGAGUUGCAGCGUAACGUUAUGACUUUUUGAUAACAUAACGUUUAUUGAAUCGAGAAGUCAAGGUAUUUGACUUUUAUUCCGUUUUAUGAAACAAAAUAUAAAUUACUAAAUAAAUCUUCUACAUA
This is a long non-coding RNA of Mercenaria mercenaria, 3306 nucleotides long. RefSeq lists it as uncharacterized. The record is from RefSeq and is a predicted model, not a curated record. The transcript is spliced from 2 exons. NCBI's taxonomy places the organism in Eukaryota, Metazoa, Mollusca, Bivalvia, Venerida, Veneridae.